RNAcentral lists this long non-coding RNA (1190 nucleotides) under Apteryx haastii (Great spotted kiwi). RNAcentral describes it as "lncRNA (ENSAHAG00000000874.1)". The record is from RNAcentral. Lineage: Eukaryota; Metazoa; Chordata; Aves; Apterygiformes; Apterygidae.
GGAGAAAACCAGCCUGCAGUGCCCAAGCCUCUAGAACUCAAGACAUACAAGUUUAUGGGAAUGGAUGGCUGGCAUCCAUGGAUGUGGAAAGAACUGGCUGCUGUGACAGCAGGGCUGCUCUCUUUCAUCUUUGAAAGGUUGAGGAGUUCAGGGGAGGUCCCAAUGAGCCCAUUAUCAAAAAAGGCCACAAGGACAACCCGGGGAGCUGCAGUCCAUUCAACCUCAUGUUGAUGACGAAUGUGUCAUGGAGCCAGUCCUCUCCGAUCACCUUUCUGGGCACAUGAAGAGGGUGCCUGGGAACAGUCAGCAUGGAUUUACUGAAGGUAAAUCAUUCCUGACCCACCUGAUGGACUUCUGUGACCAGUCCUUGUGGAGGGGAGGAGAGUAGUGGAUGUCCAGCAGACAUCCAGAUGGGCAGAAAGCUGGUUGGAUGAUCAAGCUGAGAGGGUUUUCAUGAAUGGGUCAUGCUUUAUUGGGAAGCCAGGGAAAGAUGGGGUAUGCAGGGGUCUACCCCACAUCAUGCCAUGUUUGAAAACCUCAUCAGCAGGGCAGAACAACACAUGCAUCAGGACAGGCAGAGACCUGACUGGCAGAGGAGUGACCCCGAGGAGAAGGCCCUUCCACUCAGCACUGCUGUGGCCACAUGUCUGCAACAGUGUGUCCCAGUGUGGUACGCCCAGUGCUGGAGGAAUGGGGAGCAAUUGGAGAGGGUCCAGAGGAGGUCUUCCAAGCAGUCGUUGGGGGCCUGAAGCAUAUUGUCUGUAUGCAGUUUCUGAGGGACCUUGGGCUUCUUUAGCCUGCUGAAGUGGAGGCUAAGGCCAAUACAGUAGUCACCUGUGACUGCCUGUGACAGGGUGGUUUCAGAGAUGAAGGAGCUUUUCUUGGUAGUGGGAAGCAGCAUGAGAAGGGGAAAGAGCCACAAAGUGCAUGUUGAGAGGUUCAGACUGCACUUCAGGUAACAAGAAUGUCAUUCAUAGGGUAGUGCUGUGGUGCAACUGGAUACCUAGAGGGAGUCCGUGAUCACCUCUGGCUUUGUGUUUCAAGAAGCAGCCAGUAAGAACAGAGGAACGUUAGUAAAGGUGGGGAGAUGCUGCAGUGAGAGCAAGGUGGGGAAGCAGGUUGGGGGUCUACAGGCUGCAGGGAAAGAGGUAUAGGUUUGUGACAGCUUAGGACAGCCUGUGGUGGAGAUG